RNAcentral lists this ribosomal RNA (382 nucleotides) under uncultured Desulfobulbus sp. RNAcentral's name for it is "bacterial SSU rRNA". It matches the Rfam family "Bacterial small subunit ribosomal RNA", at positions 1006 to 1382 of the family's 1533-position model. The record is from RNAcentral. Lineage: Bacteria; Pseudomonadati; Thermodesulfobacteriota; Desulfobulbia; Desulfobulbales; Desulfobulbaceae.
GGGGGUGGCUUCCAUCUGGAAGGAAUCUGGAGACAGGUGGCUGCAUGGCUGUCGUCAGCUCGUGUCGUGAGAUGUUGGGUUAAGUCCCGCAACGAGCGCAACCCUUGCCUUUAGUUGCCAGCAGUUCGGCUGGGCACCCUAAAGGGACUGCCGGUGUUAAACCGGAGGAAGGUGGGGAGUGACGUCAAGUCCUCAUGGCCUUUAUGACCAGGGCUACACACGUGCUACAAUGGCCGAUACAAAGGGCAGCGACACUGCGAGGUGAAGCCAAUCCCGUAAAAUCGGUCUCAGUCCGGAUUGGAGUCUGCAACUCGACUCCAUGAAGUUGGAAUCGCUAGUAAUCGUGGAUCAGCAUGCCACGGUGAAUACGUUCCCGGGCCUU